RNAcentral lists this ribosomal RNA (468 nucleotides) under uncultured bacterium. RNAcentral's name for it is "partial 16S ribosomal RNA". It matches the Rfam family "Bacterial small subunit ribosomal RNA", at positions 28 to 507 of the family's 1533-position model. The record is from RNAcentral.
GACGAACGCUGGCGGCGUGCUUAACACAUGCAAGUCGAACGGAAAGGCCCUGCUUUUGUGGGGUGCUCGAGUGGCGAACGGGUGAGUAACACGUGAGUAACCUGCCCUUGACUUUGGGAUAACUUCAGGAAACUGGGGCUAAUACCGGAUAGGAGCUCCUGCUGCAUGGGGGGGGUUGGAAAGUUUCGGCGGUUGGGGAUGGCCUGGCGGGUUAUCAGCUGGUUUGGGGGGUAGUGGCUUACCAAGGGUUUGAAGGGUAGCCGGCCUUAGAGGGUGACCGGCGACAUUGGGACUGAGAUACGCCGCAGACUCCUACGGGCCGCAGUAGGGGGGAAUAUUGCGGAAUGGGCGGAAGUCUGAUGCAGCAGUGCCCCGAGCGGGAUGCUGGGUUUUGGGUUGUAAACCGCUUUCGCCGGAACCGAAGAGUGAGUGACGGUAAUGGGUAAAGAAGCACCGGCUAACUACGUG